This 457-nucleotide ribosomal RNA is filed under the name uncultured bacterium. RNAcentral's name for it is "partial 16S ribosomal RNA". It matches the Rfam family "Bacterial small subunit ribosomal RNA", at positions 28 to 523 of the family's 1533-position model. The record is from RNAcentral.
GAUGAACGCUGGCGGCGUGCCUAAUACAUGCAAGUCGUACGGAAAGGCCCUUCGGGGUACUCGAGUGGCGGACGGCUGAGUAACGCGUGGGAACGUGCCCCAAAGUGAGGGAUAACGCACCGACAGGUGUGCUAAUACCGCAUAUGGUCUUCGGAUUCAAGCUUCGGCGCUUUGGGAGCGGCCCACGUACGAUUAGAUAGUUGGUGAGGUAAUGGCUCACCAAGUCGGCGAUCGUUAGCUGGUCUGAGAGGAUGAUCAGCCAGACUGGGACUGAGACACGGCCCAGACUCCUACGGGAGGCAGCAGUAAGGAAUCUUCCACAAUGGGGGCAACCCUGAUGGAGCAACGCCGCGUGCAGGAUGAAGGUUUUCGGAUCGUAAACUGCUUUUAUAAGUGAAGAAUAUGACGGUAACUUAUGAAUAAGGAUCGGCUAACUACGUGCCAGCCGCCGCGGUAA